UAAAGAUCCGUCGGAUGAGGAUAGGCUCGCGUGACAUUAGCUUGACGGCGGGGUAACGGCCCACCGUGGCGACGAUGUCUAGGGGUUCUGAGAGGAAGGUCCCCCACACUGGAACUGAGACACGGUCCAGACUCCUACGGGAGGCAGCAGUGAGGAAUAUUGGUCAAUGGCCGGAAGGCUGAACCAGCCAUGCCGCGUGAAGGUCAGUGCCCUAUGGGCGUUAAACUUCUUUUGUGCGGGAGCAAUAAGGUCCACGUGUGGACCGACGAGAGUACCGUACGAAUAAGCAUCGGCUAGCUCCGUGCCAGCAGCCGCGGUAAUACGGGGGAUGCAAGCGUUAUCCGGAUUUAUUGGGUUUAAAGGGUGCGUAGGCUGUGAGGUAAGUCAGCGGUGAAAUGCCCCCGCUCAACGGGGUGAAGUGCCAUUGAUACUGCCUUGCUGGAAUGCGGAUGCCGUGGGAGGAAUGUGUGGUGUAGCGGUGAAAUGCAUAGAUAUCACACAGAACACCGAUUGCGAAGGCAUCUCACGAAUCCGCUAUUGACGCUGAUGCACGAAAGCGUGGGUAUCAAACAGGAUUAGAUACCCUGGUAGUCCACGCUGUAAACGAUGAUGGCUAACCGUCGGCGAUACACAGUCG
RNAcentral lists this ribosomal RNA (637 nucleotides) under uncultured bacterium. Its description in RNAcentral is "bacterial SSU rRNA". It matches the Rfam family "Bacterial small subunit ribosomal RNA", at positions 202 to 839 of the family's 1533-position model. The record is from RNAcentral.